RNAcentral lists this long non-coding RNA (650 nucleotides) under Androctonus crassicauda. Lineage: Eukaryota; Metazoa; Arthropoda; Arachnida; Scorpiones; Buthidae. The record is from RNAcentral.
AAAAUCGCAAAGAUACACUUCUUUUACAAAAUUAAUGUGAUGCUUUAUCAAUAUAAAGUUGAGAAAAGAAGAGUUUGCAUGGUUAUUUUAGCUUUUGGGAUCACUUGUAACUGUACUAAAAAUAAUUGCUUGAUCUUAUUAGAACGAUUAAUAUGUCAAUGUUCUGAAAUUACCGGAUGUUUGGAUAUGAGGGUGUAUGCGUGAGUGAAACGCGCUGACCGUUAUCCUAAUUGUUGUUUUUUUAUAUAAUUAUUUUAAAUAAGUUUUGUUGAAUUCCAACAUAUGUUGAAACAUCAGGAUCAUCUGUUUUUAGGAACGUCUUGAUGACGUUUUGCAUUUCAUUUAGUGAAUGGAUCCCAAUUUCAGCGGACAGAGCUAUCAGUUUUCGAAAAAUAUCCCGCAUUCCAGUCUAUGAUGACCAAGUUCUUUUACUUUUUAUUACUGCACAUUUAAUAGAUAGAUCUAAAUUUCACGGAACUUUAAUAAAACAGUACAAUUCAUUUUUUAAAUUUCAAACUUUCGAAAAAUCAAAACGUCGCCAAUAAUAAAAAUAAAAGUUAAUGCUUAUUAGUUAUUGCAGUUAUCAGAAAAAGCUGAGAUAACUAAUAAAUGUUGCCUACUUCAGCCACUAAACCAUUAUUAUUUUUAAG